UUCUUUUAUUAUGAGACGGUAGAAUUAUGUAAAAAUAAUUCAUUGGGUUACGCUCGUUUCAGGAACUAACCGAACAUCUCACGACACGACUGACGACAGCCAUGCAGCACCUGCAAAAGUAAGUAUCUUGUUUUGUUUAAAACAAGAUAAGAAAACCCCUUAAGCUUCCUUACUUUUAGUCAAAAAUUGGUAAGAUUUCGCGCGCUGUAUCGCAUUAAACCACAUGCUCCACCGCUUGUUCUCUUCUCUGUCAAUUUCUUUGAAGUUCAACCUUGCGAUCGUACUGCUCAGGCGGAUAUUUAACGUGUUAACUGAAGCACUGCCUGAAGGGGUUAACACCGCCUCUUCAAGCAACACUUAAUAUUCAUCGUUGACACAUAGACUAC
Molecule: unclassified non-coding RNA, 386 nt
Filed under: uncultured bacterium
Lineage: Bacteria
Description: contains 16S-23S intergenic spacer region
Source: RNAcentral